AGAUUGAACGCUGGCGGCAUGCCUUACACAUGCAAGCCGAACGGCAGCGCGGGGCAACCUGGCGGCGAGUGGCGAACGGGUGAGUAAUAUAUCGGAACGUACCCUGGAGUGGGGGAUAACGUAGCGAAAGUUACGCUAAUACCGCAUACGAUCUAAGGAUGAAAGUGGGGGAUUCGCAAGAACCUCAUGCUCCUGGAGCGGCCGAUAUCUGAUUAGCUAGUGUGGGUAAGCUACCAGGCAUCGAUCAGUAGCUGGUCUGAGAGGACGACCAGCCACACUGGAACUGAGACACGGUCCAGACUCCUACGGGAGGCAGCAGUGGGAAUUUGGACAAUGGGCGCAAGCCUGAUCCAGCAAUGCCGCGUGAGUGAAGAAGGCCUUGGUUGUAAAGCUUACUUUGUCGAGGAAGAACGUACGUACUCUAAUAAC
RNAcentral lists this ribosomal RNA (429 nucleotides) under uncultured soil bacterium. Its description in RNAcentral is "bacterial SSU rRNA". It matches the Rfam family "Bacterial small subunit ribosomal RNA", at positions 26 to 466 of the family's 1533-position model. The record is from RNAcentral.